UUUAUUUAUAUUCUUAUUUUUUUAAUUAAUUUAAAUUAAUAUUGAUAAGCCAAUAAAAAAAUAAUUUAUAACGGUGACACAAAAUCGGAGGCCACGACUGUUUACUAAAAACACAACACAGUGCAAUCAUUAAUAUGAUAGUAUACUGUGUGAAAUUUGCCCGAUGCCAUUAAUAUAAGAGCGAUCAUGGUUUUCUGUGAUUAAUCGAAAAUCUGGUUAAUAGCGGUCUUAACUAUGAGGAUCCUAAGGUAGCAAAAUAAAUUGGCCUUUAAAUGAGGUCCGGUAUCAAUAAUGUAACGAUGGUCUCACUGUCUCUACAACUUGCUCAGUGAAAUUGAAUUACGCGUGCAGAUGCGCGUUGCCUUCAGGGGGACGGGAAGACCCUAUGCAG
Molecule: ribosomal RNA, 391 nt
Filed under: Laccaria amethystina
Lineage: Eukaryota; Fungi; Basidiomycota; Agaricomycetes; Agaricales; Hydnangiaceae
Description: partial large subunit ribosomal RNA
Rfam family: Bacterial large subunit ribosomal RNA
Source: RNAcentral